AAACGACUCUCGGCAACGGAUAUCUCGGCUCACGCAUCGAUGAAGAACGUAGCAAAAUGCGAUACUUGGUGUGAAUUGCAGAAUCCCGUGAACCAUCGAGUUUUUGAACGCAAGUUGCGCCCGAAGCCUUUUGGCCGAGGGCACGUCUGCCUGGGCGUCACACAU
RNAcentral lists this ribosomal RNA (165 nucleotides) under Senecio vulgaris. RNAcentral describes it as "5.8S ribosomal RNA". It matches the Rfam family "5.8S ribosomal RNA". Rfam says of the family: 5.8S ribosomal RNA (5.8S rRNA) is a component of the large subunit of the eukaryotic ribosome. It is transcribed by RNA polymerase I as part of the 45S precursor that also contains 18S and 28S rRNA. The record is from RNAcentral. Lineage: Eukaryota; Viridiplantae; Streptophyta; Magnoliopsida; Asterales; Asteraceae. RNAcentral also lists the same sequence under 2 other names.